GGGAGAAUAUUCCGUAUUUUCCAAUAAGAAAAUUAAAUAUUUCACGAAAUUGAUUGAUAUGGUUUGGGGAAUCCAAUUUUCAACCCGAAAUUCCUCACCAAAAGGAAACCGAUGACAUAGUUUUCUCGAUUCCACUUCCCCAUGGCGAUGUCGUCGUUGAAUCAUCGAUUCCUUCUGAAUAUUGAUGUGGACCAUUUUCUGAAGAUGACAAUCGACUUCGCUAACGAGCGUUGAUUUGGGGCACCUUUUCCAUCGGGGAAAACUCGUUUCAGUGACCGGCACACGAAAUUUUCAAAUGCAGUGUGAAUGGAGAGAAGCUUGCAUUAGAAAUCCUACAAAAGAGAAAAAAAAUUCUGCCAGAAGGUGACUCUUCAAGACCAAUCAUGAACUUCUGUUGUACCAUUCACGUAAUUACUGCAACCAGAAUUCGACCACUCUAGAUGAAAGACUACUGGCAAUCAGAAGAUGGUUUUCCAACCCUUGUUCGCAUUCGCUCAAGUAUUUGUGCAGAGCAACUCAAUUAUAGACUGCAAGGGCUCGGAGUAGCAGUAAAAAAUUCAGAGACAUAUUAAAUCAUUCAGCUCUCAACGUCACCAAAGUGAGUUUGUACGAAUUACAUAUGAGAAAACUUGAGUUCGUGUGACAGUGAAACGUUUCAAUCUCAAGUUGAUCAUACAUUGAAUCGGGAACAUAAUGAAGGGAGCCUAUUCACCAUCCGGUGAAAAAGUAAUUUCGAUCCGUUUCCACCAGGUUGAUUGAGUUUGAAACAGGAUAAUUGUACCAAAUGGUAGCAAUUUUAAGGAAUAGCUAUAUCAAUAGUUACAGCAAUUAUGGCUACCAGUGACCGGAGCAUAGCAGUACGUUUUGGAUAUGGAUAAAUUCAGCAAAGUUCGUUGGUCCGCCAAGCACUGGACGAACCGAUUCGCAAAAGCCUGGGAAUGACCAAUUCGGUUGUUCAGGAGAUUCUACUAAAGAGAACCAUCACAUUGCUCCCGGCUACAUCCGGUCGUUGUCGAUAGAAUCGCUCCGACAUCGUAUCACGCUGAAAGCGCUCAAAUUAGUUCAAUAAUUGUCAUUAACGGGUAGAGAAAUGGCAUCGCUUCUCCGCCAGUUAUAGGAUAUGACGGAUGCAUUAUAUACAUUGCUCUUCGUGGCCGAAUGUCACGUUCCUGCACUUAUUCGUAACGUGUACCGAAGCCAUCUUUUGUUCGAUUGUUCGUCUCAACCACUGAAUCACGACGAUACCCUCAACCGGAGAACCCUCGUUUACAACCAAUUCACAGUAAUUAAUAGUUUGAAUUGUCUAAUUAUCCAACUCGCACCAGUGAGCUUUGCUCGUCUCGUAUCUCAAUAACUAUCAGAGAAAUUUUGCGUAACGUCCUCGUUACUCAAAGUGAUCUCACUUCAUGAACGUAUUCAAUAGAUUCUAUAAAUUGUUAUCGUUUCUGCAAUAGAAUUUCGUACGAAGUGAAUUCAAAUUUUUUCUUCUUAGGGGAAAGAAAAUGUUACUGGGAUUGUAAUGUAAAAUAAAAUAAACGAAA
Venturia canescens is the source of this 1541-nucleotide long non-coding RNA. RefSeq lists it as uncharacterized. The record is from RefSeq and is a predicted model, not a curated record. NCBI's taxonomy places the organism in Eukaryota, Metazoa, Arthropoda, Insecta, Hymenoptera, Ichneumonidae. The transcript has 5 exons.